Balaenoptera acutorostrata (minke whale) is the source of this 451-nucleotide long non-coding RNA. RefSeq lists it as uncharacterized. The transcript has 3 exons. The record is from RefSeq and is a predicted model, not a curated record. Lineage: Eukaryota; Metazoa; Chordata; Mammalia; Artiodactyla; Balaenopteridae.
UCAGCCCCAGCGGGCGGGCGAGUAAGCUGCAGGUAAUCCUGUGGAUCCGGAACCAGGCCAGGCUCUCAUCUCAGCGGGAGGGACUGUGGAGUAGCCUGAGGGACAGCUGAGACCUCUGGGAGCCCACAUUAUGGAGACCUCACACACAGUGCUGCAGAAGGUGCUCAUCCUACAGAUGAGGAGACCAGAGAAAGCAUUUGCCCAAGCCUCACGGUCAUUAGUCUGAGAGCUUCACUGUCAGAGUUCCUCAACCGCUGCUCAGCAGGACUGCGGGGACACGGGUUCGAGCCCUGGUCCGGGAAGAUCCCACAUGCCGCGGAGCAACUGGGCCCGUGAGCCACAACUACUGAGCCUGCGCGUCUGGAGCCUGCGCUCCGCAACAAGAGAGGCCGCGACAGUGAGAGGCCCGCGCACCGCGGUGAAGAGUGGCCCCCGCUUGCCGCAACUGGAG